This 597-nucleotide long non-coding RNA is filed under the name Prunus persica (peach). RNAcentral describes it as "long non-coding RNA (PPER_LNC004400)". Lineage: Eukaryota; Viridiplantae; Streptophyta; Magnoliopsida; Rosales; Rosaceae. The record is from RNAcentral.
GCGAAACAUAAUAUGAAAUAAACAAUUAAAAUCUAAACUUUAUAAAAUAAAAUUAUAAAAAAAAAAAAAACUAAUUAAAAUCAAGUCUUGAAGGUUGAAACCGCGCGCUCGAGCAACCUGGUAAACUGUCAAUUGCAGAAAAGACUAGCUCCUUCCAAGCAUUGAAUUGCCAUUAUGCUAUGAUCCCUGCUGGAGUAGAAUAAAAAUUAGACUUAAUUGAAUUCCAAUUAAAACAAUAAAACUAAAUAACAUCUAACACUGUUAAUAAUAAAGUGAAUGUGGGUGAGAUGUGUUUCCCAAGUGAGGGAAACAUACCACCACCGGCGGUGUUCCCUUUGUUUAAUAGGGUUGGAAGUUUCCGAACGAAGGCCCGAAUACCAUGUUUAGCGGUGAUCCCGAAUAGCUCAGGGGCUUGGUCAGAUCGAUUAAAAGGUUGAGGAGAAGACAGAGUGGAAUUGCAUGCAUGAAUAUUGAUAGAAAUAAUGGAAGAGAAUAAAAGGAUGAAAAUGAAACAGCCAUGUUGGAUUGGGUGAUGAAACUGCACUAGCAUGUUUCUUCGUGAAUGCGCCAUGUCUUUUUGGAAGAUUUAUUUUGCCG